GGGUGUCUCUGGAAGAUACUUGAAUCACAGGACUGAAUAAGGAAGAGCUGCCCUCAGCGUGGCCGGGCAACAUCUAAUCGGCUGAAAGCUUGGAUCGAAUGAAAAGGCAGAGGAAAGGUGAAUUUUCUUUUUAUCCUGGAGCUGGACACCCUGUUUCUCCUGCCUGUGGACAUCAGAAUUCUAGGCUCUGUGGCAUUUCAACUGUAAAACUUGCACUAGUAGCCAGCUGGUUUCUCAAGUCGUUGGCUUCAAAACUGAGAAGUACAGCAUUCUCUUCCCAGGUUCUGAAGACCUCAAAUGGACUGAGCCACACUACCAGCAUCCAGCAUCCAUGGUUCUCCAGUCUGCAGAUGGCCUAUUAUGGGACUUUUCAGUCUUCAUAAUUAUAUGAGAGAAAGAAAAUGAAAAGGAUUUGUAAACUAUAAAUCUCUAAACAGAUGGGAGGAAAGGAAUUGAUGAAACAAUAAAUUUAUUGAUGAAACAAUAAAAAUAAACAUAAAGAACCAAAGGUGAGGAAACGGAAACUCAUGAAAACAAAGAAACUCAUCCAAAGUUUCUCUGCAAAUACAUGAUUGAGUUAAAGGAGCUGUGGAAUAAAAAAAACAAAAACAAAAACAAAACAAAAAAACAGGCUAAGCUAGGAAGUUACAAAGAGUGUUACACUGCGCCUUUAAGGAAAACUUUCCUUCAUCAUUCCUGUAAGCGUGGACAUGCAACUUCUCUCACCACAAAGG
RNAcentral lists this long non-coding RNA (734 nucleotides) under Homo sapiens (human). Its description in RNAcentral is "HSALNT0312123". The record is from RNAcentral. Lineage: Eukaryota; Metazoa; Chordata; Mammalia; Primates; Hominidae.